UACGUAGGGCGCAAGCGUUGUCCGGAAUUAUUGGGCGUAAAGAGCUCGUAGGCGGUUUGUUGCGUCGGCUGUGAAAUCCCGAGGCUCAACCUCGGGUCUGCAGUCGAUACGAGCAAACUAGAGUGUUGCAGGGGAGACUGGAAUUCCUGGUGUAACGGUGAAAUGCGCAGAUAUCAGGAGGAACACCGGUGGCGAAGGCGGGUCUCUGGGCAACAACUGACGCUGAGGAGCGAAAGCGUGGGGAGCGAACAGG
This 253-nucleotide ribosomal RNA is filed under the name uncultured bacterium. RNAcentral describes it as "partial 16S ribosomal RNA". It matches the Rfam family "Bacterial small subunit ribosomal RNA", at positions 524 to 776 of the family's 1533-position model. The record is from RNAcentral.